CUGAAAUGCUCUUCUAGCUUCGCUGGUGUUUGAGCUCUCGCACCGCAGACCGUGCAGCGCAACUCAAUAGCAGCGCCACUCUCGCUUGUUGGCUCCUCAUUCCAGCUGCAGCAGCACACGCUCACAGGCUUCAGAAUCCCUCUCAUGAGCCAAAAUGCACCUGACACCAUGCACCUGACAACGACCGGGGCAAUGCAACUGAGAAGAAUGCCUGACCUUUCCUUGAUCUCCUUUCGCCUCGCCCGCUCCACUGGUGCCACCCAAGUGAACGUGUGCCUGUUGCCGUAGGCACAGAUCCCAGCAAUCUCUCCAAGGGGCAACAGUGCUGCAUAAAUAUUCUCGACAAGGUCCUCUGGCCUUGUCCACUUUGCGCUCUUGUUGUCAAUAUCCCAGAA
This 395-nucleotide long non-coding RNA is filed under the name Coccomyxa subellipsoidea. Its description in RNAcentral is "long non-coding RNA (CSUB_LNC000743)". Lineage: Eukaryota; Viridiplantae; Chlorophyta; Trebouxiophyceae; Coccomyxaceae. The record is from RNAcentral.